CACGCUGUAAACGAUGUCAACUAGCCGUUGGUCCUAUUUACAGGAUUAGUGGCGCAGCUAACGCAUUAAGUUGACCGCCUGGGGAGUACGGCCGCAAGGUUAAAACUCAAAUGAAUUGACGGGGGCCCGCACAAGCGGUGGAGCAUGUGGUUUAAUUCGAUGCAACGCGAAGAACCUUACCUACCCUUGACAUCCAGAGAAUCUGUUAGAGAUAGUGGAGUGCCUUCGGGAACUCUGAGACAGGUGC
This 247-nucleotide ribosomal RNA is filed under the name uncultured Methylobacter sp. RNAcentral's name for it is "partial 16S ribosomal RNA". It matches the Rfam family "Bacterial small subunit ribosomal RNA", at positions 796 to 1041 of the family's 1533-position model. Lineage: Bacteria; Pseudomonadati; Pseudomonadota; Gammaproteobacteria; Methylococcales; Methylococcaceae. The record is from RNAcentral.